UGCAAGUCGAACGCUUCAGCAAUGAAGAGUGGCAGACGGGUGAGUAACGCGUGGGAACCUUCCCAGUGGUACGGAAUAGCCCAGGGAAACUUGGGGUAAUACCGUAUAAGCCCUUAGGGGGAAAGAUUUAUCGCCAUUGGAUGGGCCCGCGUCGGAUUAGCUUGUUGGUGAGGUAAAAGCUCACCAAGGCGACGAUCCGUAGCUGGUCUGAGAGGAUGAUCAGCCACACUGGGACUGAGACACGGCCCAGACUCCUACGGGAGGCAGCAGUGGGGAAUAUUGGACAAUGGGCGCAAGCCUGAUCCAGCCAUGCCGCGUGAGUGACGAAGGCCUUAGGGUUGUAAAGCUCUUUUGGCGGGGACGAUAAUGACGGUACCCGCAGAAUAAGCUCCGGCUAACUUCGUGCCAGCAGCCGCGGUAAUACGAAGGGAGCUAGCGUUGUUCGGAAUUACUGGGCGUAAAGCGCACGUAGGCGGACUUGUUAGUCAGGGGUGAAAUCCCGGGGCCCAACCUCGGAACUGCCUUUGAUACUGCAAGUCUGGAGUCCGGAAGAGGUGGGUGGAAUUCCUAGUGUAGAGGUGAAAUUCGUAGAUAUUAGGAAGAACACCGGUGGCGAAGG
RNAcentral lists this ribosomal RNA (619 nucleotides) under uncultured bacterium. RNAcentral's name for it is "bacterial SSU rRNA". It matches the Rfam family "Bacterial small subunit ribosomal RNA", at positions 56 to 721 of the family's 1533-position model. The record is from RNAcentral.